AACCCUAGACAGGGGAUCACUUGGCUCAUGGGUCGAUGAAGACCGCAGCAAACUGCGCGUCGCCGUGUUGAACUGCAGGACACAUGAUCAUUGACAUGUUGAACGCAUAUUGCGCCUUAUACA
RNAcentral lists this ribosomal RNA (123 nucleotides) under Glyptotendipes barbipes. RNAcentral describes it as "mature 5.8S rRNA". It matches the Rfam family "5.8S ribosomal RNA", at positions 1 to 124 of the family's 154-position model. Rfam says of the family: 5.8S ribosomal RNA (5.8S rRNA) is a component of the large subunit of the eukaryotic ribosome. It is transcribed by RNA polymerase I as part of the 45S precursor that also contains 18S and 28S rRNA. Functionally, it is thought that 5.8S rRNA may be involved in ribosome translocation. The record is from RNAcentral. Lineage: Eukaryota; Metazoa; Arthropoda; Insecta; Diptera; Chironomidae.